UGCCAGCAGCCGCGGUAAUACGGAGGGUGCAAGUGUUGUUCGGAAUUACUGGGUGUAAAGGGUGCGCAGGCGGGACGAUAAGUCAGUGGUGAAAUCCUACAGCUUAACUGUAGAACUGCCAUUGAUACUGUUGUUCUUGAGUACAGUUGAGGUAGGCGGAAUGUGUCAUGUAGCGGUGAAAUGCUUAGAUAUGACACAGAACACCGAUUGCGAAGGCAGCUUACUAAACUGUUACUGACGCUGAGGCACGAAAGCGUGGGGAGCGAACAGGAUUAGAUA
RNAcentral lists this ribosomal RNA (279 nucleotides) under uncultured bacterium. RNAcentral describes it as "partial 16S ribosomal RNA". It matches the Rfam family "Bacterial small subunit ribosomal RNA", at positions 506 to 784 of the family's 1533-position model. The record is from RNAcentral.